GAUGAACGCUGGCGGCGUGCCUAAUACAUGCAAGUCGAGCGAACAGAUGAGGAGCUUGCUCCUCUGACGUUAGCGGCGGACGGGUGAGUAACACGUGGAUAACCUACCUAUAAGACUGGGAUAACUUCGGGAAACCGGAGCUAAUACCGGAUAAUAUAUUGAACCGCAUGGUUCAAUAGUGAAAGACGGUUUUGCUGUCACUUAUAGAUGGAUCCGCGCCGCAUUAGCUAGUUGGUAAGGUAACGGCUUACCAAGGCAACGAUGCGUAGCCGACCUGAGAGGGUGAUCGGCCACACUGGAACUGAGACACGGUCCAGACUCCUACGGGAGGCAGCAGUAGGGAAUCAUCCGCAAUGGGCGAAAGCCUGACGGAGCAACGCCGCGUGAGUGAUGAAGGUCUUCGGAUCGUAAAACUCUGUUAUUAGGGAAGAACAAAUGUGUAAGUAACUAUGCACGUCUUGACGGUACCUAAUCAGAAAGCCACGGCUAACUACGUG
This 497-nucleotide ribosomal RNA is filed under the name uncultured bacterium. RNAcentral's name for it is "partial 16S ribosomal RNA". It matches the Rfam family "Bacterial small subunit ribosomal RNA", at positions 28 to 507 of the family's 1533-position model. The record is from RNAcentral.